CCUACGGGUGGCUGCAGUAAGGAAUAUUGGUCAAUGGACGCAAGUCUGAACCAGCCAUGCCGCGUGCAGGAUGACGGCCCUACGGGUUGUAAACUGCUUUUGUACGGGAAAAAACCUCCGGUCGUGAAUCGGAGCUGAUGGUACCGUAAGAAUAAGCAUCGGCUAACUCCGUGCCAGCAGCCGCGGUAAUACGGAGGAUGCAAGCGUUAUCCGGAUUCAUUGGGUUUAAAGGGUGCGCAGGCGGAAUGAUAAGUCAGUGGUGAAAUCUCUCGGCUCAACUGAGAAACUGCCAUUGAUACUGUUGUUCUUGAGUACACUUGAAGUGGGCGGAAUGUGUCAUGUAGCGGUGAAAUGCUUAGAUAUGACACAGAACACCGAUCGCGAAGGCAGCUCACUAAAUUGUAACUGACGCUCAGGCACGAAAGCGUGGGGAUCAAACAGGAUUAGAUACCCUGGUAGUC
RNAcentral lists this ribosomal RNA (461 nucleotides) under uncultured Bacteroidales bacterium. Its description in RNAcentral is "bacterial SSU rRNA". It matches the Rfam family "Bacterial small subunit ribosomal RNA", at positions 338 to 795 of the family's 1533-position model. Lineage: Bacteria; Pseudomonadati; Bacteroidota; Bacteroidia; Bacteroidales. The record is from RNAcentral.